GAUGAACGCUGGCGGCGUGCCUAAUACAUGCAAGUCGAGCGAACGGACGGGAAGCUUGCGUCUCUGAUGUUAGCGGCGGACGGGUGAGUAACACGUGGAUCACCUACCUCUAAGACGGGGAUAACUUCGGGAAACCGGAGAUAAUACCGGAUGAUAUUUUGAACGGCAUGGUUCAAAAGUGAAAGACGGUCUUGCUGUCACUUAUAGAUGGAUCCGCGCUGCAUUAGCUAGUUGGUAAGGUAACGGCUUACCAAGGCAACGAUGCAUAGCCGACCUGAGAGGGUGAUCGGCCACACUGGAACUGAGACACGGUCCAGACUCCUACGGGAGGCAGCAGUAGGGAAUCUUCCGCAAUGGGCGAAAGCCUGACGGAGCCACGCCGCGUGAGUGAUGAAGGUCUUCGGAUCGUAAAACUCUGUUAUUAGGGAAGAACAUAUGUGUAAUUAACUGUGCACAUCUUGACGGUACCUAAUCAGAAAGCCACGGCUAACUACGUG
This 497-nucleotide ribosomal RNA is filed under the name uncultured bacterium. Its description in RNAcentral is "partial 16S ribosomal RNA". It matches the Rfam family "Bacterial small subunit ribosomal RNA", at positions 28 to 507 of the family's 1533-position model. The record is from RNAcentral.